ACGGGUGAGUAAUGCCUAGGAAUCUGCCUGGUAGUGGGGGACAACGUUUCGAAAGGAACGCUAAUACCGCAUACGUCCUACGGGAGAAAGCAGGGGACCUUCGGGCCUUGCGCUAUCAGAUGAGCCUAGGUCGGAUUAGCUAGUCGGUGAGGUAAUGGCUCACCAAGGCGACGAUCCGUAACUGGUCUGAGAGGAUGAUCAGUCACACUGGAACUGAGACACGGUCCAGACUCCUACGGGAGGCAGCAGUGGGGAAUAUUGGACAAUGGGCGAAAGCCUGAUCCAGCCAUGCCGCGUGUGUGAAGAAGGUCUUCGGAUUGUAAAGCACUUUAAGUUGGGAGGAAGGGUUGUAGAUUAAUACUCUGCAAUUUUGACGUUACCGACAGAAUAAGCACCGGCUAACUCUGUGCCAGCAGCCGCGGUAAUACAGAGGGUGCAAGCGUUAAUCGGAAUUACUGGGCGUAAAGCGCGCGUAGGUGGUUCGUUAAGUUGGAUGUGAAAUCCCCGGGCUUAACCUGGGAACUGCAUUCAAAACUGUCGAGCUAGAGUAUGGUAGAGGGUGGUGGAAUUUCCUGUGUAGCGGU
Molecule: ribosomal RNA, 584 nt
Filed under: uncultured Pseudomonas sp.
Lineage: Bacteria; Pseudomonadati; Pseudomonadota; Gammaproteobacteria; Pseudomonadales; Pseudomonadaceae
Description: bacterial SSU rRNA
Rfam family: Bacterial small subunit ribosomal RNA
Source: RNAcentral